This is a small nuclear RNA of Lactuca sativa (garden lettuce), 196 nucleotides long. RefSeq annotates it as U2 spliceosomal RNA. The record is from RefSeq and is a predicted model, not a curated record. NCBI's taxonomy places the organism in Eukaryota, Viridiplantae, Streptophyta, Magnoliopsida, Asterales, Asteraceae.
AUACCUUUAUCGACCUUUUGGCUAAGAUCAAGUGUAGUAUUAGUUCUUACCAAUUUAAUAUAUGAUAUGUGGGCCCUUGGCUUACUCGAUAUUAAUCUUGUUUUUUAUGUGGAAAUAUCUGUUGUAAUAGCUUGCUAUUGGGGUGUUUGAGUGUUGGCUUGGCGUUGCACUAUUGCCUUGGCAUGGCGCACCCCUC